This 64-nucleotide transfer RNA is filed under the name Lygodactylus nigropunctatus. RNAcentral describes it as "tRNA-Trp". Lineage: Eukaryota; Metazoa; Chordata; Lepidosauria; Squamata; Gekkonidae. The record is from RNAcentral.
AAAUUUAGGUUCCACAAACCAAGGACCUUCAAAGUCCUGAACAGAAUAAAUAUUCUAAUUUCUG